This 253-nucleotide ribosomal RNA is filed under the name uncultured bacterium. RNAcentral describes it as "partial 16S ribosomal RNA". It matches the Rfam family "Bacterial small subunit ribosomal RNA", at positions 524 to 776 of the family's 1533-position model. The record is from RNAcentral.
UACGGAGGGUGCAAGCGUUAUCCGGAUUCACUGGGUUUAAAGGGUGUGUAGGCGGGCUAUUAAGUCAGUGGUGAAAUCUCCGAGCUCAACCCGGAAACUGCCAUUGAUACUAUUAGUCUUGAAUAUCGUUGAGGUAGGCGGAAUAUAUCAUGUAGCGGUGAAAUGCAUAGAUAUGAUAUAGAACACCGAUUGCGAAGGCAGCUUGCUAAACGAUUAUUGACGCUGAGGCACGAAAGCGUGGGGAUCAAACAGG